Molecule: ribosomal RNA, 274 nt
Filed under: uncultured bacterium
Lineage: Bacteria
Description: partial 16S ribosomal RNA
Rfam family: Bacterial small subunit ribosomal RNA
Source: RNAcentral
AUACGGGGGGUGCAAGCGUUAAUCGGAAUUACUGUGCGUAAAGCGCGCGUAGGCGGUUUACUCAGUCGGAUGUGAAAGCCCAGGGCUCAACCUUGGAACUGCAUACGAUACUGGCAAACUAGAGUGUGAGAGAGGAUAGUGGAAUUUCCGGUGUAGCGGUGAAAUGCGUAGAUAUCGGAAGGAAAAUCAGUGGCGAAGGCGACUGUCUGGCUCAACACUGACGCUGAGGUGCGAAAGCGUGGGUAGCAAACGGGAUUAGAAACCCUAGUAGUCC